Molecule: non-coding RNA, 141 nt
Filed under: Nostocoides japonicum
Lineage: Bacteria; Bacillati; Actinomycetota; Actinomycetes; Micrococcales; Intrasporangiaceae
Also listed under: 1 other name
Source: RNAcentral
UUGCAGCUAGGCUGACGCCGUCCGCCGGCCGCGGGCCCAGGAACUCCGGUGCGACUCCGGGGCGGUUCCGCCACUGUGAAUCCGUGCACUCCACCGUCGGGCACGGGUGAGCCAGACACUGACCGCGGCCGCUUCCGACCA